RNAcentral lists this ribosomal RNA (451 nucleotides) under uncultured bacterium. RNAcentral describes it as "bacterial SSU rRNA". It matches the Rfam family "Bacterial small subunit ribosomal RNA", at positions 1052 to 1504 of the family's 1533-position model. The record is from RNAcentral.
UCGUCAGCUCGUGUCGUGAGAUGUUGGGCUAAGUCCCGCAACGAGCGCAACCCUUGUUAUUAGUUGCCAGCAUUAAGUUGGGCACUCUAAUGAGACUGCCGGUGACAAACCGGAGGAAGGUGGGGAUGACGUCAAGUCAUCAUGCCCCUUAUGACCUGGGCUACACACGUGCUACAAUGGGCAGUACAACGAGAAGCAAGCCUGCGAAGGCAAGCGAAUCUCUGAAAGCUGUUCUCAGUUCGGACUGCAGUCUGCAACUCGACUGCACGAAGCUGGAAUCGCUAGUAAUCGCGGAUCAGCACGCCGCGGUGAAUACGUUCCCGGGCCUUGUACACACCGCCCGUCACACCAUGGGAGUCUGCAAUGCCCAAAGCCGGUGGCCUAACCUUCGGGAAGGAGCCGUCUAAGGCAGGGCAGAUGACUGGGGUGAAGUCGUAACAAGGUAACCGUA